Molecule: ribosomal RNA, 840 nt
Filed under: Triticum aestivum (bread wheat)
Lineage: Eukaryota; Viridiplantae; Streptophyta; Magnoliopsida; Poales; Poaceae
Description: partial small subunit ribosomal RNA
Source: RNAcentral
AUGGCCACGGCCCUCUCCCUCGGCGGUGCGGGCGCCGGCGCCGGCGGCCACCUCCUCCGCAGGCGCCCCGCCGCCUCCGCCGCGCGGUGCUGCGCCGUGCCCCGCAGCUCCCCGUCGCGCCGCCGGGUCCCGACGCGGCGCCUGGCCGCCUCGCGCGCGGACGACUCCUCGCCGGCGCCCUUCGAGAUGACGGUGGAGGGCGCGCUCAAGCUGCUCGGCGUCGCUGAGGGCGCCUCCUUCGACGAGAUCCUCCGCGCCAAGAAGGCCGUCGUCGCCUCCUGCAAGGACGACCCGGACGCCGUCGCCCAGGUCGAGGUCGCCUAUGAUAUGCUGCUAAUGCAGAGCUUAUCACGGCGGAGGGCUGGCAAGGUUGUCGAUAGCAGCGUCCGCUACGCUGAUGUGAAACCUGUCAAGACUGCAGGAACGGCGCCGCAAUGGAUGCAGUCAGCCAUGAAGAACGUGCCUCUGACAUUGGAGGCCCCGGCUUCGAGCAGCUUGGGCAUCCAGUCAUCCAUUUAUGGUGCACUGAUGGUUUUCACAUAUGCGAGUGGAACCUCCACGUCUUUGCCAUCAGCGUACACUAGCCCUGAUGUGCCUGGAUUUAUCCUAGCAACAGGAUUCGGUGCUUCAUUGUAUUUUCUGUCCAAGAAAAACAUGAACUUAGGUAAGGCGGCGCUGAUCACCGUCGGGGGCCUGGCAGUCGGUGCGACGGUCGGGUCCGGCGUGGAGAGCUGGCUGCAGGUUGACAUUGUGCCCUUCCUGGGCAUCCACUCCCCCGCGGUCGUCGUCACCGAGUUCAUUCUCUUCUCGCAAUUGCUGGUGUCGCUGUUCGUUAGGUAG